This 338-nucleotide ribosomal RNA is filed under the name Olea europaea subsp. europaea. Its description in RNAcentral is "LSU_rRNA_eukarya". It matches the Rfam family "Bacterial large subunit ribosomal RNA", at positions 1692 to 2034 of the family's 2925-position model. Lineage: Eukaryota; Viridiplantae; Streptophyta; Magnoliopsida; Lamiales; Oleaceae. The record is from RNAcentral.
GAGAUAACUUUCUCUAUGGAACUCGAUAAAAUAGCCCCGUAACUUCGGGAGAAGGGGCGCCUCCUCACAAAGGGGGUCUUAGUGACUAGGCCCGGGCGACUGCUUACCAAAAACACAAGUCUCGGCAAAGUCAUAAGACCAUGUAUGGGGGCUGACGCUUGCCCAGUGCCGGAAGGUCAAGGAAGUUGGUGACCUGAUGAUAGGGGAGCCGACGACCGAAGCCCCGGUGAACGGCGGCCGUAACUAUAACGAUCCUAAGGCAGCAAAAUUCCUUGUCAGGUAAUUUCUGACCUGCACAAAAGUCAUAACGAUCUAGGCACUGUCUCGGAGAGAGGCUC